AUUGAACGCUGGCGGCAGGCCUAACACAUGCAAGUCGAGCGGAUGAAGAGAGCUUGCUCCUGGAUUCAGCGGCGGACGGGUGAGUAAUGCCUAGGAAUCUGCCUGGUAGUGGGGGAUAACGUCCGGAAACGGGCGCUAAUACCGCAUACGUCCUGAGGGAGAAAGUGGGGGAUCUUCGGACCUCACGCUAUCAGAUGAGCCUAGGUCGGAUUAGCUAGUUGGUGGGGUAAAGGCCUACCAAGGCGACGAUCCGUAACUGGUCUGAGAGGAUGAUCAGUCACACUGGAACUGAGACACGGUCCAGACUCCUACGGGAGGCAGCAGUGGGGAAUAUUGGACAAUGGGCGAAAGCCUGAUCCAGACAUGCCGCGUGUGUGAAGAAGGUCUUCGGAUUGUAAAGCACUUUAAGUUGGGAGGAAGGGCAGUAAGUUAAUACCUUGCUGUUUUGACGUUACCAACAGAAUAAGCACCGGCUAACUUCGUG
RNAcentral lists this ribosomal RNA (484 nucleotides) under uncultured bacterium. RNAcentral's name for it is "partial 16S ribosomal RNA". It matches the Rfam family "Bacterial small subunit ribosomal RNA", at positions 30 to 507 of the family's 1533-position model. The record is from RNAcentral.